This 468-nucleotide ribosomal RNA is filed under the name uncultured bacterium. Its description in RNAcentral is "partial 16S ribosomal RNA". It matches the Rfam family "Bacterial small subunit ribosomal RNA", at positions 28 to 507 of the family's 1533-position model. The record is from RNAcentral.
GACGAACGCUGGCGGCGUGCUUAACACAUGCAAGUCGAACGGAAAGGCCCUGCUUUUGUGGGGUGCUCGAGUGGCGAACGGGUGAGUAACACGUGAGUAACCUGCCCUUGACUUUGGGAUAACUUCAGGAAACUGGGGCUAAUACCGGAUAGGAGCUCCUGCUGCAUGGUGGGGGUUGGAAAGUUUCGGCGGUUGGGGAUGGACUCGCGGCUUAUCAGCUUGUUGGUGGGGUAGUGGCUUACCAAGGCUUUGACGGGUAGCCGGCCUGAGAGGGUGACCGGCCACAUGGGGACUGAGAUACGGCCCAGACUCCAACGGGAGGCAGCAGUGGAGAAUAGUACACAAUGGGCGGAAGCCUGAUGCAGCAACGCCGCGUGCGGGAGGACGGCCUUCGGUUUGUAUUCCGCUUUCGCCUGUGACGAAGCGAGAGUGACGGUAAUGGGUAAAGAAGCACCGGCUAACUACGUG